GAUGAACGCUGGCGGCGUGCCUGAGAUAUGCAAGUCGAGCGGGAAUUAUUGAAGUCGCAAGACGGAUAUAGUUCCAGCGGCGGACGGCUGAGUAACACGUAAGAAUCUUCCCCAGAGUCUCACACAGCUCACCGAAAGGUGGGGUAAUUUGAGAUGGUCUGUACAGAUUUAUCUGUAUUGUAAAGCCGCAAGGCGCUUUGGGAUGAGCUUGCGUCCUAUCAGGUAGUUGGUGAGGUAAAAGCUCACCAAGCCUACGACGGGUAGCUGGCCUCAUGAGGGUGGUCAGCCAGAGGGGGACUGAGACACGGCCCCCACUCCUACGGGAGGCAGCAAUCAGGAAUAGUCGGCAAUGGACGAAAGUCUGACCGCGCGACGCCGCGUGUAGGAUGAAGCUUCACAAGAGUGUAAACUACUGUGGUAGGGGAAAAGAAAGGAUUGUACCCUACUAGAAAGCAGCCGCUAACUGCGUGCCAGAAGCGUCGGUAAUACGUGGGCUGCGAGCGUUAUCCGGUGUCAUUGGGCGUAAAGAGUCGUGUAGGUGGGUAUAUAAGUCACUUUUUAAAUCUCUGGGCUCAACCCAGAAACUUGAAGUGAUACUGUAUGUCUUGAGGAUUUUUUAGGGAGAACGGAAUUGCGGGAGGAGUAGUGAAAUGCGUUGAUACCCACGAGAACUCCAGUGGCGAAGGCGGUUCUCUGGAAAGAUCCUGACACUGAGACACGAAAGUUAGGGGAGCGAAGCAGAUUAGAGACCUGCGUAGUCCUAACUGUAAACGAAUGUAUGCUGGCUGCAUGAAGCUGGACAAUGGUUAUUAGAACGAUCUAACCGCUAUUGUCCAGUUUCGUGUGGCGAAGGUAACCCGUUAAGCAUACCGCCUGGGGAGUACGGCCGCAAGGUUGAAACUCAAAGGAAUUGGCGGGGAGGCACACAACCAGAGGAACAUGUGGUUUAAUUCGACACAAAACGAAGAACCUUACCAAGGCUUGACAUGCUAGCGUUCUAUUUCCUGGAAACAGGAGAAAUCCGCAAGGAGGCUAGCACCGGUGAUGCAUGGCUGUCGUCAGUUCGUUCCGUGAGGAGUGCCCUUAAGUGGGACAACGAACGCAACCCCUGUCGUCUGUUACAAGUGUCAGACGAUACUGCCCUACAGUUUUGUGGGGAGGAAGGCGGGGCAGACGUCAAGUCAGCACGUCCCUUAUGUCUUGGGCUACACACAUGUUACAAUGAACCAUAACAAUGAGCAUUGCGAGCCAGCGAUGGCAAGCUAAUCUCACAAAUUGGUCCUCAGUGGGGAUUGGAGUCUGCAACUCGACUCCAUGAACUUGGAUUUGGUAGUAAUCGCAGGUCAGCUAUACUGCGGUGAAUACGUUCUUGCCUCUUGCACACACCGCCCGUCAAACCAACCAAGUCGGAAAUAUAUGAA
Molecule: ribosomal RNA, 1421 nt
Filed under: uncultured bacterium
Lineage: Bacteria
Description: 16S ribosomal RNA
Rfam family: Bacterial small subunit ribosomal RNA
Source: RNAcentral